AAGUAAACAAUGAAAAGAUUUCAUAUUUGGUUUCGGCCCAUUUUUUAGCAGUUAAACUCCGCUUUUACUUA
Molecule: transfer RNA, 71 nt
Filed under: Bathysciadiidae sp. MNHN-IM-2013-40843
Lineage: Eukaryota; Metazoa; Mollusca; Gastropoda; Bathysciadiidae
Description: tRNA-Arg
Source: RNAcentral